ACGGGAGGCAGCAGUGGGGAAUAUUGCACAAUGGGGGAAACCCUGAUGCAGCGACGCCGCGUGAGUGAAGAAGUUAUUCGUAAUGUAAAGCUCUAUCAGCAGGGAAGAAAAUGACGGUACCUGACUAAGAAGCCCCGGCUAACUACGUGCCAGCAGCCGCGGUAAUACGUAGGGGGCAAGCGUUAUCCGGAUUUACUGGGUGUAAAGGGAGCGUAGACGGCAAGACAAGUCUGGAGUGAAAUUCCGGGGCUCAACCCCGGAACUGCUUUGGAAACUGUUUAGCUGGAGUAUCGGAGAGGUAAGCGGAAUUCCUAGUGUAGCGGUGAAAUGCGUAGAUAUUAGGAGGAACACCAGUGGCGAAGGCGGCUUACUGGACGAUAACUGACGUUGAGGCUCGAAAGCGUGGGGAGCAAACAGGAUUAGAUACCCUGGUA
This 434-nucleotide ribosomal RNA is filed under the name uncultured Lachnospiraceae bacterium. RNAcentral's name for it is "partial 16S ribosomal RNA". It matches the Rfam family "Bacterial small subunit ribosomal RNA", at positions 341 to 792 of the family's 1533-position model. The record is from RNAcentral. Lineage: Bacteria; Bacillati; Bacillota; Clostridia; Lachnospirales; Lachnospiraceae.